UACGGGGGGGGUAAGCGUUGUUCGGAAUUACUGGGCGUAAAGGGCUCGUAGGCGGCCAACUAAGUCGGACGUGAAAUCCCUCAGCUUAACUGGGGAACUGCGUCCGAUACUGGAUGGCUUGGAUUUGGGAGAGGGAUGCGGAAUUCCAGGUGUAGCGGUGAAAUGCGUAGAGCUCGGGAAGAACAUCGGUGGCGAAAGCGCUCUGCUGGACUGCAACUGACACUCAGGGACGAAAGCUAGGGGAGCGAAUGGG
RNAcentral lists this ribosomal RNA (253 nucleotides) under uncultured bacterium. RNAcentral's name for it is "partial 16S ribosomal RNA". It matches the Rfam family "Bacterial small subunit ribosomal RNA", at positions 524 to 776 of the family's 1533-position model. The record is from RNAcentral.